This 341-nucleotide ribosomal RNA is filed under the name uncultured bacterium. Its description in RNAcentral is "bacterial SSU rRNA". It matches the Rfam family "Bacterial small subunit ribosomal RNA", at positions 29 to 394 of the family's 1533-position model. The record is from RNAcentral.
AACGAACGCUGGCGGCAUGCCUAACACAUGCAAGUCGAACGAGACCUUCGGGUCUAGUGGCGCACGGGUGCGUAACACGUGGGAAUUUGCCUCGGGGUAUGGAAUAACUCAGGGAAACUUGAGCUAAUACCAUAUAAUGUCUUCGGACCAAAGAUUUAUCGCCCUGAGAUAAGCCCGCGUAGGAUUAGCUAGUUGGUGAGGUAAACGAGCUCACCAAGGCGACGAUCCUUAGCUGGUCUGAGAGGAUGAUCAGCCACACUGGGACUGAGACACGGCCCAGACUCCUACGGGAGGCAGCAGUGGGGAAUUUUGGACAAUGGGCGCAAGCCUGGAUCCAGCAA